GGCGUCCUGGCUCCCAGUCCACCCGCCAGUUUCUAUUAAAACGGGAAUCAAGUUCCCGCGGACGACGCAGCGAGGCUCAAGGAAGAUGAGGGGCUUUCCUCCGGGCCACCCUGGAGCCAGAGCAGUGGGGUGAGGGCUGGGACGUGGCCCAGACUCUCGGCAGAUGAGAGAAACGACGGAAUCGUGCAGGCCCUGAACUCCCCUGGACUCUGAUGUGAGCGCAAGCCCAGCAUCUCAUCCCCUCUGCUCCUGACCGCAGUGAAGAGACAAAGCCGACGGGUAGGAAUGGUCUGAUUUGAAGUUAGCCACCUGGGUUUCCGAUGGACUCACUACCAAAAGAGAGGCCAGUCACUUACAAGCCAGAGUGUACAGCAUCCAGCGUGCUGUGUGGUAGGGGAACGGAUUCUAGGAGUGGAGCUCCCGGCAAGGGAGGCUCUUUGUUUCGACACGCAGGGAGCAAGCAACCGAUGACUCGGGGAGCCGUUUUCCUGCCGUAUGGCUCCUGAGUCUCCUCAGGUGAGCCUGCAUGCGUCCAGGUGGGACGUUUUCUCAUCCUCGCUGCAGCCCUCCCUGUAUCUGCACACCUGACUGCAGGCCACCACUUGCUCCUCCACUGGUCUACAUUUAUCCCUCCUCCAGCUCAGGUGGAUCCUCCACCAAAUAACCGAGGCAGAAGCAGGAUGCCAUGUCACUCCCAGCCGACAGCUACUGUCUCAGAGAGCAACAGAGAAAAGAUCGGGGUGAGGAGGCGGCUGGAGGAACUUGAAAGCGAGUAACUGCCGAGUAACUGGGUCAGCUCCCUCACCUCAGCCUCAGCCCGUGACUUGCAGGGAGCCUCCAGAGACUGGGAGAGAAACCUCCAAGGGCCA
This 869-nucleotide long non-coding RNA is filed under the name Capra hircus (goat). RNAcentral's name for it is "lncRNA (ENSCHIG00010028191.1)". Lineage: Eukaryota; Metazoa; Chordata; Mammalia; Artiodactyla; Bovidae. The record is from RNAcentral.